UACAGAGGGGGCAAGCGUUGUUCGGAAUUACUGGGCGUAAAGGGCGCGUAGGCGGCCUGUUAAGUCGAACGUGAAAUCCCCGGGCUCAACCCGGGAACUGCGUCCGAUACUGGCAGGCUUGAAUCCGGGAGAGGGAUGCGGAAUUCCAGGUGUAGCGGUGAAAUGCGUAGAUAUCGGGAGGAACACCAGUGGCGAAGGCGGCUUUCUGGCCUGUUCUUGACGCUGAGGCGCGAAAGCUAGGGUAGCAAACGGG
RNAcentral lists this ribosomal RNA (253 nucleotides) under uncultured bacterium. RNAcentral's name for it is "partial 16S ribosomal RNA". It matches the Rfam family "Bacterial small subunit ribosomal RNA", at positions 524 to 776 of the family's 1533-position model. The record is from RNAcentral.